GCCCGGGUGGCGGAAUUGGUAGACGCACAAGCUUCAGGAGCUUGCGAGAGCAAUCUCAUGGGAGUUCAAUUCUCCCCUCGGGCA
This 84-nucleotide transfer RNA is filed under the name Candidatus Magasanikiibacteriota bacterium. Its description in RNAcentral is "Candidatus Magasanikbacteria bacterium tRNA-Leu". It matches the Rfam family "tRNA". Rfam says of the family: Transfer RNA (tRNA) molecules are approximately 80 nucleotides in length. Their secondary structure includes four short double-helical elements and three loops (D, anti-codon, and T loops). The record is from RNAcentral. Lineage: Bacteria; Candidatus Magasanikiibacteriota.